UACGGAGGAUCCGAGCGUUAUCCGGAUUUAUUGGGUUUAAAGGGUGCGUAGGCUGUUCGGUAAGUUAGAGGUGAAAUCUCGACGCUCAACGUCGAAACUGCCUCUGAUACUGCUGGGCUAGAGUAUAGUUGCUGUGGGCGGAAUGAGUAGUGUAGCGGUGAAAUGCUUAGAUAUUACUCAGAACACCGAUUGCGAAGGCAGCUCACAAAGCUAUUACUGACGCUGAUGCACGAAAGCGUGGGGAGCGAACAGG
RNAcentral lists this ribosomal RNA (253 nucleotides) under uncultured bacterium. Its description in RNAcentral is "partial 16S ribosomal RNA". It matches the Rfam family "Bacterial small subunit ribosomal RNA", at positions 524 to 776 of the family's 1533-position model. The record is from RNAcentral.